Molecule: transfer RNA, 67 nt
Filed under: Pseudochauhanea macrorchis
Lineage: Eukaryota; Metazoa; Platyhelminthes; Monogenea; Mazocraeidea; Chauhaneidae
Description: tRNA-Leu
Source: RNAcentral
AUACUAGUGCCAGAAUAUAUGGGUGGGCUUUAAGCGCCUAUUAUGAAGUUUUAUUCUUCCUUGUAUA